RNAcentral lists this non-coding RNA (27 nucleotides) under Homo sapiens (human). Lineage: Eukaryota; Metazoa; Chordata; Mammalia; Primates; Hominidae. The record is from RNAcentral.
CAUCAAGGAACGCCACUGACUGUUGCC